RNAcentral lists this ribosomal RNA (637 nucleotides) under uncultured bacterium. Its description in RNAcentral is "bacterial SSU rRNA". The stretch from base 1 to 539 matches the Rfam family "Bacterial small subunit ribosomal RNA", at positions 338 to 873 of the family's 1533-position model. The record is from RNAcentral.
CCUACGGGAGGCAGCAGUAAGGAAUAUUGGUCAAUGGACGCAAGUCUGAACCAGCCAUGCCGCGUGGAGGAUGACGGUCCUCUGGAUUGUAAACUUCUUUUCUCUGGGACGAAACCCCCGAUUUCUAUCGGGCCUGACGGUACCAGAGGAAUAAGCACCGGCUAACUCCGUGCCAGCAGCCGCGGUAAUACGGAGGGUGCAAGCGUUAUCCGGAUUCACUGGGUUUAAAGGGUGCGUAGGUGGGCAGAUAAGUCAGUGGUGAAAUCUCUGGGCUUAACCCGGAAACUGCCAUUGAUACUAUUUGUCUUGAAUUCUCUGGAGGUAAGCGGAAUAUGUCAUGUAGCGGUGAAAUGCUUAGAUAUGACAUAGAACACCCAUUGCGAAGGCAGCUUACUACGGAGACAUUGACACUGAGGCACGAAAGCGUGGGGAUCAAACAGGAUUAGAUACCCUGGUAGUCCACGCCCUAAACGAUGAUUACUCGACAUUAGCGAUAUUACUGUUAGUGUUNUAGACGAAGACAUAAGUUAAUACCUACCGUACGGUAAGGUAACGACCGACGAACGGUUAGUAACGUAACGAAGUAAGUUAGUACGGACGUGAGACGUAGACCGACGGACGACGACGAGGGAGGAGG